CGGGUAACGGAGAAUUAGGGUUCGAUUCCGGAGAGGGAGCCUGAGAAACGGCUACCACAUCUACGGAAGGCAGCAGGCGCGUAAAUUACCCAAUCCCAAUUCGGGGAGGUAGUGACAAGAAAUAACAACUCGGGCGGCGCAAGCCGUUGCGAGAUUGCAAUGGGUACAAUUUAAAACACUUAACGAGUAACAAUUGGAGGGCAAGUCUGGUGCCAGCAGCCGCGGUAAUUUCAGCUCCAAUAGCGUAUAUUAAAGUUGUUGCAGUUAAAAAGCUCGUAGUCGAAGUUCUGACUGGCCCUGUUUCCGGCUCCGGUCGACUCAGGGCCUAGUCAUCCGUCGGAGAACCCUUGUCGUCCUUUACUGGUCGCUUGGGGGAACUGACCCUUUACUUUGAAAAAAUUAGAGUGUUUCAGGCAGGCUCUCGCCCGAAUACUCCAGCAUGGAAUAAUGGAAUAGGACUUUCUUCUAUUUUGUUGGUUAUUAGUGGAAAGUAUGAUUAAUAGGGACAGUUGGGGGCAUUCGUACUUAAUUGUCAGAGGUGAAAUUCUUGGAUUUAUUAAAGACGAACUAAUGCGAAAGCAUUUGCCAAGGAUGUUUU
RNAcentral lists this ribosomal RNA (598 nucleotides) under uncultured ciliate. RNAcentral describes it as "SSU rRNA". It matches the Rfam family "Eukaryotic small subunit ribosomal RNA", at positions 356 to 970 of the family's 1831-position model. Lineage: Eukaryota; Ciliophora. The record is from RNAcentral.